RNAcentral lists this ribosomal RNA (497 nucleotides) under uncultured bacterium. Its description in RNAcentral is "partial 16S ribosomal RNA". It matches the Rfam family "Bacterial small subunit ribosomal RNA", at positions 28 to 507 of the family's 1533-position model. The record is from RNAcentral.
GAUGAACGCUGGCGGCGUGCCUAAUACAUGCAAGUCGAGCGAACGGAUGAGGAGCUUGCUUUUCUGAUGUUAGCGGCGGACGGGUGAGUAACACGUGGAUAACCUACCUAUAAGACUGGGAUAACUUCGGGAAACCGGAGCUAAUACCGGAUAAUAUUUUGAACCGCAUGGUUCAAAAGUGAAAGACGGUCUUGCUGUCACUUAUAGAUGGAUCCGCGCCGCAUUAGCUAGUUGGUAAGGUAACGGCUUACCAAGGCAACGAUGCAUAGCCGACCUGAGAGGGUGAUCGGCCAAACUGGAACUGGGACAAGGGCCAGACUCCUAAGGGAGGCAGCAGUAGGGAAUCUUCCCGAAAGGGCGAAAGCCUGACGGAGCAACGCCGCGUGAGUGAUGAAGGUCUUCGGAUCGUAAAACUCUGUUAUUAGGGAAGAACAUAUGUGUAAGUAACUGUGCACGUCUUGACGGUACCUAAUCAGAAAGCCACGGCUAACUACGUG